This 23-nucleotide non-coding RNA is filed under the name Arabidopsis thaliana (thale cress). Lineage: Eukaryota; Viridiplantae; Streptophyta; Magnoliopsida; Brassicales; Brassicaceae. The record is from RNAcentral.
UUCAUAGUCAUCUAGUGCAUAUA